RNAcentral lists this unclassified non-coding RNA (934 nucleotides) under Zea mays. RNAcentral describes it as "misc RNA Zm00001eb332600". The record is from RNAcentral. Lineage: Eukaryota; Viridiplantae; Streptophyta; Magnoliopsida; Poales; Poaceae.
CAAACACCUUACCUGCCGUAUCUCUCUGUUCUUCCUCUUCCGUUUGCCCCUCUCUGCUUCUUCCCCACGCCAGCUGCUAACACAAAACGGCUCUUCCAUUCCUCUGUGUUUCACUCCCAGUUGCCAGCUCCCGGCUCUACCUCGUCGGUAAUGGAUCCUCCACCGUCGGACCCGACGUUGUUUGUCCAACCCCACGAGUUCGUCGCCAACCUCCAUGGUGAACUCCACAGAGCAGGCAGUGGGCGGCUGGCCGCAGUAGCACGCGUCGCGGCUUGCUAUUCGCGCAUCUUGUUGCUCUCGUAUGUCGAGCGUCAUCAGCCAACCUGGUGUGCGCCGUCCAUCUUGUUCCUACUUCCUCCAAAGAAAGAAACCGAAGAAGGAUGCGAGUAGCACAAAUGCGAUUGGGAUGGUGGCGGUGUAGAUGGCCGCGGCCCGCGGGGCUGGACUUGGACGGCGUGGGGAAGGGGACAAGAGGCCAAGUCCAAGAGCGCAGGUGGCGGUGGUUUGGUAGGUGGGGCCGGCCGACGGAGUUGGAGAUGUCAGCGGCGUAGAGGACAGAGGUAGAAGGAGGAGCCCGACUUGUUAUCGUUGGCCACAGUGCUGGUGAGGUGCACGAUGGUGGCGAUGUCGGCGCUGUAACAGAGCGCGCAGGUCGCCUGUGAGGCGAGGUCGGGGCCGCAGGCCUGCAGGAAGAGUUGAGGGACUGGGCGGACCAACGGAGUCGUUCCCGACGGCGGCCACGAACUCCGUAGCGGUGGAGACGCCUGCGCAGUAGGACGAGGUGAUGACAAACUGGCUGAGGUCCGGCCGUCCGGGCGGGAAGGAUUCCGCCAUCAAGGAGGAACCUAAGAGGCUCGCUGGCGCUGUGGAGAUGAGGUUCGUGAAGCUCUCAAUGCAGGCCGUAGAGAGGCCGCCACGGACAAGAGGCGAAAGU